CCUACGGGAGGCAGCAGUGGGGAAUAUUGCACAAUGGGGGGAACCCUGAUGCAGCGACGCCGCGUGGGGGAAGGAGUAUUUCGGUAUGUAAAGCCCUAUCAGCAGGGAAGAACAAUGACGGUACCUGACGAAGAAGCACCGGCUAAAUACGUGCCAGCAGCCGCGGUAAUACGUAUGGUGCAAGCGUUAUCCGGAUUUACUGGGUGUAAGGGGAGCGCAGGCGGCGCGUUAAGCCUGGUGUGAAAGCCCGCGGCCCAACCGCGGGACUGCAUUGGGAACUGGCGCGCUGGAGUUCCGGAGGGGUAGGCGGAAUUCCUGGUGUAGCGGUGAAAUGCGUAGAUAUUAGGAGGAACACCAGUGGCGAAGGCGGCCUACUGGACGGUGACUGACGCUGAGGCUCGAAAGCGUGGGGAGCAAACAGGAUUAGAUACCCUGGUAGUC
This 441-nucleotide ribosomal RNA is filed under the name uncultured bacterium. RNAcentral describes it as "partial 16S ribosomal RNA". It matches the Rfam family "Bacterial small subunit ribosomal RNA", at positions 338 to 795 of the family's 1533-position model. The record is from RNAcentral.